GAACUGUUUACAUUUUAUGCGAAUGCCAACAUCCUAUUGUUAUUGUUUGGUAUGUUGCCCAGUAUUUCUCCGCUUUUGUUUAUUUUUAAUUUUGUAUACGUAUACUUUGGGGAAAUCUUAAGAAAAUAAUAAUAUAAUUAGCUUACUACUUUUCAAAAUUUCGACAUUUAUAAUUUUAUUUAGUACUUAUUAAGAUUCAGUCAAGAUUACAAGAAAAAUAAACUUGAAAUAUUUGUAAAUUUCGUCAUUUUUCAUCAGCUGUUAGGAUUAAUUUUUAAUCUGACAACGCCGCUCUGUUGUUAUAGUAUUUUCUAUAGUAGGGGAAUUGGACGCGGUCAACAGUGUCAAUCUUAAUAAACUAUUAAUGUAUAAUUGUUUCAUUUUAUAUAAAAGACCAAAAUUAGCAUUUAAAAUGGGUCUACACUGGCAAAAUGUGUGAGAAUAAAAAGAAUUUAAACAUCGUCAUUUCAAAAGUAAGUACUGUUCUGUGGUAAUACAACAUCUCGUUUUAUUUACCUAAAAUAUUUACCAUAUUUGUUAAAAUUUGUUUAUUUGUUUUAUAAUAUAAUUUUGUGAAUAUAAUAUAUUAUGUAUAUUAUAAGAAGUAAUGUUUAUAUUUUUGUUACAAUAUUGUCCGAUUUAAAAUCGUAUAUUUGUAUUUAAUUAUGAAUACAAAUAAUUUGUAUGUUUACAUAAAUUAUAAUUGAUUUCUAAAAGAUAGUGAGAGAAAAAUUAAAUGGUUUUCUCUGUUAGGAUUUAUUCAUAGCAUAAUAUUAAAAAGUCAAGCAAAAGAGAACUCAAGAACAGCUGAUUUUUUUUAUAAGGAAUUGAAGAAAAUAUUUAAAAUCUGAUGAUUUUCACAGCCAUUUAUGUCGCGAUUUGUGGUCUUUCAGUUGUUUCAACAUCACCUAGGAAAUUAACAUUAAGAUAUCAGGAUCCUGCAUAUAACGAGAUAAGAACUAUGAUCUUGUUAGGAUACCUAUUCCGUCACAAUAUGAAGUGAAGAUAUUCAUGGUGUGGAAGUCGUUACUUUAAUUACAUAGUGCAUAUGAAAUUGGUCCUUUACAUCAUGUUUAAAAUUGACGUAAUGCUACUAUGCAAAAUAGUGAGAGAUGUGAACCCUAGGCAGAGCUACAGAAUUACUUUUGUUGAGAGACAAAUUAUGAUAGUGAUUAGAAUCGCAUAUUCUAGACUUUUACUUAAAAAAUGAUUUGUUCGGAAUGAACUUUUAUAGUGUGGAGGAAUACCUGCAAAUUAUAAUAUGAGGCCUACGUAUAUGAUAAUUUUAUUAUGAUCUGUUGUGUUUGUUUUUUUAUAUUUUGUAUUAUAUAUUUGUGUUAGCUUUAAGAAUUUAUUGACUAUUCCUAUACAAUUGUACAUUGUUUUAUGGAAAUAAAUAAAUGAUUGAUUGAUUGAAUAAGUUAGGAAACCAUACGAUCGAGAAAAAAACGGCUUCAAAGGCGACUGGGGAAUGAAAAUAUGAUAAUUUCAGUGAGGUCAAGCCCUAGAAGUCAUUUUCUUGGCUCGUACUAUUUUUUAAAGGCGCUCUAAGGUUGUAAUUUAUUUUUACAUUAAGUAAAUAUGAUUUUUAAAUGGUGUAGUUUAAGAUUGACCUCGCUAAAUUAUCAAUCGUCAUUCCUCAGCCGCCUUUGACGCCGUUUUUUUUAGACUAUUUGCUAUAACUAUGUUAUCUGUUAUGCAAAUACAUAUGUCAACAAGUAAAAAGCCAAUGAGAAAUUAGUUUCUGCUUGGAUCCUUACAGUGGCAUUUAACAAAAUAUAUAUUUUUUCAGGUUACAAUAUUUUAUUUAAUAUGAACCUGUAAAUGUAAGAAUAUUAUACAUAUAUUAUAUUUUUUACUCAGUCCCUAAAUAUAUUAUUAAAAUACAACACUUGUGUUUUUUAUUAAUAUCGUGUUAUGAUUAAUACCUAAUUAAUGUAAAAUUAUAUGGUAUGUAAAUAUCCUUACACUGAGAAUUCGUUUGGUCAAAAUAUUACUCUCUUACUAAUAUGAAUUUGAAAACUACAGAACAUUGUUUUUUUUUAGUUUUUGUGCUAAUAUUUCCACUUAAAAUUACCGAAUAUAUUUAUGGUAUAGGUAGGAAAAGAUGAAUUUUGUGCUUUUUAAUUAUACAUUAUAUUAAUUAUAUUAUUAUUGUAAAUAAUAUCUACUGAUAUUUAAUAUAAAAAAUAGUUAUUCACAUGCAUCUAUUUUUCUUUUGUAAUUAAUACUAUCUAAAUAACAAGACAUCUUAUAUAAUAGAUCCAUUAACAUUUUAGUUUAUCAAUUAUCAAUCACUAUACGAUAUACAAUACGUAUAAUAUCUUUUAAUUAUAUCUAACUUUUAAUUAUUGAAUAUUUAAUAAACAAAUUUUUUAUAGUGUUUGUUAAAUAUUUUAUA
Molecule: long non-coding RNA, 2401 nt
Filed under: Sitophilus oryzae (rice weevil)
Lineage: Eukaryota; Metazoa; Arthropoda; Insecta; Coleoptera; Curculionidae
Description: uncharacterized LOC115889800, transcript variant X2
Source: RNAcentral